CAGCAUCAAUAAACCCUAGGCCUCAAGCUCAGCUUCCAAAUUACGCAUCUCCUGUAUAUAUAUAGCCGCACGCUAUGCCGCUUAUUCUUGCAACUUCGCCUCCUCCAUAAAUAAACACAGAUUUGAGAUUCCCAAUUCACCAGACUCAGGUAGAAGUCAUCUUGAAGAGCUGGUGCAUCCAAAACUUGCAAUUAUAAUGCGAGAGUGAGCAUCAGAGUUCCUUUGUAGAUCACCAUUGGAGCAAGUCAUAUAGUUUUAAAAGCUCUUAAACCACGAAUUUCUAGCUUAUUGCUAUAGUUCUCUCAUUCACCAGGAAAACUAAGAAAAUUGUAUUAAUAAGAAUUAGGGAAUUUGUUUUGUUUUUAAAGUUUCAGAGUAAUAAGUGAGGAGGGAAUUGUAUUAAGAAGAAUAGAGAAUAUGGUUUUUGUUUUGUUUUGUUUUUAAAGUUUCAAGAGUAAUAAGAGAAGAGAGGCAUUGGAUGUUUUUUUCCCCAAGUGUAUAUUAUAAUUGUCUAAGAAAAAACGAAACACAGACAAAGACAAUGGAUUUUU
Molecule: long non-coding RNA, 551 nt
Organism: Ipomoea nil (Japanese morning glory)
Lineage: Eukaryota; Viridiplantae; Streptophyta; Magnoliopsida; Solanales; Convolvulaceae
Exons: 2
Source: RefSeq, a predicted model, not a curated record